Molecule: ribosomal RNA, 459 nt
Filed under: uncultured bacterium
Lineage: Bacteria
Description: bacterial SSU rRNA
Rfam family: Bacterial small subunit ribosomal RNA
Source: RNAcentral
GAUGAACGUUGGCGGUGUGCCCAAUACAUGCAAGUCGAACGGAGUUAGUAGCAAUACUGGCUCAGUGGCGAACGGGUGAGUAACGCGUUGGUGAUCUGCCUUGAAGUGUGGAAUAACGUUUCGAAAGGAACGCUAAUACCGCAUGUGCUCUCGAUUUUCAGAAAGUUGAGAGUAAAGGAUUUAUUCGCUUCAAGAGGAGCCUGCGUCCCAUCAGCUGGUUGGUAGGGUAACGGCCUACCAAGGCUAUGACGGGUAGGGGACCUGAGAGGGUGGCCCCCCACAAUGGAACUGAAACACGGUCCAUACACCUACGGGUGGCAGCAGUAGGGAAUAUUAGAAAUGGACGAAAGUCUGAUCUAGCAACACCGCGUGUGCGAAGAAGGCCUUCGGGUCGUAAAGCACUUUUUGGAAGGAAUAGGAAGGAAUGUACUUCCAGAAUAAGUCUCGGCUAACUACGUG